AGCGUCUCCGUUGCCAGGGGAACGAGGCACCACGCUUUCCGGCGCGGUCGCAGCGCGAAGCAGCUGUCAUGGCGGAAGCGGUCUGGAGCACUGACACCGGCGAGGCCGUGUAUCGCUCCCGGGACCCCGUGCGCAACCUGCGCCUCCGAGUUCAUCUGCAAAGAAUCACAUCAAGCAACUUCCUUCAUUACCAGCCUGCUGCCCAGAUGGGGAAGGACCUCAUAGACUUGGCCACUUUUAGGCCUCCGCAAGCUGCUAGUGGACACCGCCCUGACGAAGAAGAGGAGGAAGAGGUUGUAAUUGGAUGGCAGGAAAAGCUCUUUAGCCAGUUUGAAGUCGACCUGUACCAAAAUGAAUCCGCGUGCCAGAGCCCACUGGAUCAUCAGUACCGCCAAGAGAUCUUGAAACUGGAGAAUUCUGGCGGCAGGAAAAACCGGCGAAUCUUCACUUACACUGACUCGGAUAGAUACACCGACUUGGAAGAGUACUGUCAGAAAAUAACCACUUCAGCCAGCGAGGUGCCAUCGUUUCUGGCUGAGCGGAUGGCGAACGUCAGGCGGCGGCGGCAGGACAGGCGAGGGGUGGAGGGCAGCAAACUCAAGUCUCGGAUCGUCACGUGGGAACCCUCGGAAGACUUCAUCAAGAACAACCACGCUAUUAACACUCCUCUUCAGACAAUGUACAUCAUGGCGGACCUGGGACCCUAUGGAAAGCUUGGCUAUAAGGUACAUGAGCACGUGCUCUGCAUCCUGAAGGUGGACAGCAAUGGCGUGAUCACAGUGAAGCCUGACUUCACCGGCAUCAAAGGACCCUACAGAAUCGAAACUGAGGGAGAGAAGCAGGAACACACUUCUGCUUGGAAAUACACAAUUGACAACGUGUCCUCCCUCGCACAGCCAGAGGAGGAAGAGCGGGAGCAGCGAGUGUUCAAGGACCUUUACGGCCGGCACAAGGAGUACCUCAGCAGCCUCGUGGGCACAGACUUUGAGAUGAUUGCCCCAGGUGCCCUCCGGCUCUUUGUGAACGGAGAGUUUCAGCCCAAGGCUAUGAGUAUGACAACCUCUACGUCCACUUCUUUGUGGAGCUGCCAGCUGCUAACUGGUCCAGCCCGCCAUUCCAGCAGCUCUCGGGAGUAACCCAGGCCUGUGCCACCAAAUCCCUGGGAAUGGACAAGGUGGCCUAUUUCUCCUUUCCGUUCACAUUCGAAGCCUUCUUUCUGCAUGAGGACGAAUCGGCUGAGUCCCUCCCGGAGUGGCCUGUGCUCUACUGUAAGGUCCUCUCACUGGACUUCUGGCAGAGGUAUCGUGUGGAAGGCUACGGGGCUGUGGUGCUGCCUGCCACUCCAGGAUCCCACACCCUGACUGUCUCCACAUGGAGGCCCAUGGAGCUGGGUCUCGUGGCAGAGCUAAGGAGGUUCUUCAUUGGCGGCUCUCUGGAGCUGGAGGACCCAUCCUAUGUGAGGAUACCAGGAACCUUCAAGGGGGAGCGCCUGAGCCGCUUUGGAUUCCGCACUGAGACAACGGGUACUGUCACCUUCCGAUUGCACUGCCUGCAGCAGUCCCGGGCUUUCAUGGAAUCGAACUCCCUCCAGAAACAGAUGCGGAGUGUGUUGGACCGUCUGGAAGGGUUCAGCCAGCAGAGUUCCACGCACAACGUGCUAGAAGCAUUCCGUCGAGCCCGGCGUCGGAUGCAGGAGGCCCGAGAGAGCCUCCCCCAGGACCUUGUGAGCCCCACGGGAACGUUGACCUAGUUCUCUGCAACCCUGGCCUGUGGAGCAAGGGAAAGAUGUCUGCAUCCAGUGCUCUCACUUUGUCUUGCUUAUUAGAGACCACAUUGGUCGACCAAACUGGAUGAUCUAGAAACUUCCCACCGGCUCCCCUGCCUCAUCUUCAGCAGGACAUUCUUUCCUCCAUGCAGAAGUCAAGCCUGAGACUCUGGGGCCCCACCUGACACCCUGCUCAUGUUUUGGCUAUCAAACACGGGCAUCAUAACAAGGCAGGCCGUGCAGUCUGAAACUCGUCUGGGGGAAACCCAGCAUUAGCCUCUCCUCAGUACAGUGUCUUUUCUGGUUUGUCCUGGAACCUCCAUAGCAGAGGGCUCCAAAAGGGAGUUUGGCAACCAGGCGUAAUGGUGCACACACCUUUAAUCCCAGCACUCAAGUGGCAGAGGCAGGAGGAUAUCUAUGAAUUUGAGGCCAGCCUGGUCUACAUAGUGAGUUCCCAGACAGCCAGAGCAACAUAGUGAGACCCUGUCUCAAAGCAACAACAAAAGCAGACAGCAGCAGCAUGGAGUUUGGCAUCUUCCGAGGAGGAAGGUGCAUUCCGGAGCUUAGACUCUUGUUUCUUCCAAGAAAAGGUGAGAGUAAGGGGCCUCAACUUCCUGGCUAAGUCUCUGUCCCCUGACAUUUUAGGGCUGGCUGGCUUUGGGACAUAGCCUGGGGGAGUUCUCAGUUCUCCUGCUGGCUGGGCGGGGUCUUUUAUUGUAUUUGUUUGUUUGUUUUUCAUAUAAAAAGUAUUUAUAUUGACUGA
This is an RNA transcript of Mus musculus (house mouse), 2528 nucleotides long. It is a transcript of the gene named MKS transition zone complex subunit 1, with no coding region annotated. The transcript is spliced from 18 exons. NCBI's taxonomy places the organism in Eukaryota, Metazoa, Chordata, Mammalia, Rodentia, Muridae. The record is from RefSeq and is marked validated.